GUAGGUGGCAAGCGUUGUCCGGAAUUAUUGGGCGUAAAGCGCGCGCAGGCGGUUCUUUAAGUCUGAUGUGAAAGCCCACGGCUCAACCGUGGAGGGUCAUUGGAAACUGGAGAACUUGAGUACAGAAGAGGAAAGCGGAAUUCCACGUGUAGCGGUGAAAUGCGUAGAGAUGUGGAGGAACACCAGUGGCGAAGGCGGCUUUCUGGUCUGUAACUGACGCUGAGGCGCGGAAGCGUGGGGGAGCAAACAGGAUUAGAUACCCUGGUAGUCCACGCCGUAAACGAUGAGUGCUAAGUGUUAGGGGGUUUCCGCCCCUUAGUGCUGCAGCUAACGCAUUAAGCACUCCGCCUGGGAGUACGGCCGCAAGGCUG
Molecule: ribosomal RNA, 371 nt
Filed under: uncultured organism
Description: partial 16S ribosomal RNA
Rfam family: Bacterial small subunit ribosomal RNA
Source: RNAcentral